Molecule: ribosomal RNA, 451 nt
Filed under: uncultured Pelagibacterales bacterium
Lineage: Bacteria; Pseudomonadati; Pseudomonadota; Alphaproteobacteria; Candidatus Pelagibacterales
Description: bacterial SSU rRNA
Rfam family: Bacterial small subunit ribosomal RNA
Source: RNAcentral
UGGGUAGUCCGCACGAGCGCACCCUACUUUUAGUUGCUACCAUUUAGUUGGGCACUCUAAAAGAACUGCCAGUGAUAAGCUGGAGGAAGGUGGGGAUGACGUCAAGUCCUCAUGGCCCUUAUGAGUUGGGCUACACACGUGCUACAAUGGUACUUACAAUGAGAAGCAAAGAGGCAACUCUAAGCCAAUCUCAAAAAGGUACCUCAGUUCGGAUUGUACUCUGCAACUCGAGUGCAUGAAGCUGGAAUUGCUAGUAAUCGCAGAUCAGCGCGCUGCGGUGAAUACGUUCCCGGGUCUUGUACACACCGCCCGUCACACCAUGGAAGUUGGUUACACCUUAAGGCAAAAUGUUAACCUUCGGGAAACAUUUGACUACGGUACGAUCAGCGACUGGGGUGAAGUCGUAACAAGGUAGCCGUAGGGGAACCUGCGGCUGGAUCACCUCCUUUCU